UGGUUUCUGGGUCUGCUCCGUGCAACUCCUUGGCUAAAGAGAGUCCCCUUUCUGUCCUUGAGCUCAGAGGUCAACAACUUCCACACACCCAAGGUAUCAAUUAAACUGGAAACCAUAACCUGUGAAGUUUAUGAAGAUGUAUGAAUAGGUUUUUUGCUGGUCCUGGAAGAAACACUACAGUCCCAGAUGCAGAAAGAAAAGAAACAUCAACAAAAGCCACACAGCAACUCAUAAACAGGGAUUUGCCACAGAGAGAACAAGCAAUCUCGUUUUGGAGAGUAUUUUGACUUUUAUUAUAUUAGAAAUGACUCUUUGCAAGGACUCAUCUCCAUGUGACUCCUGGCCCCUCAUCUAUCACAGUCUGCAGCAGCUUUGUGGCUGUCCUAGGAUGCUUCUACAGAAACUGCUUUGACUUAUCCCCAGUUUGCAUGGCUUUAAUUUAACCCAACACUG
This is a long non-coding RNA of Calypte anna (Anna's hummingbird), 453 nucleotides long. RefSeq lists it as uncharacterized. The record is from RefSeq and is a predicted model, not a curated record. The transcript is spliced from 3 exons. NCBI's taxonomy places the organism in Eukaryota, Metazoa, Chordata, Aves, Apodiformes, Trochilidae.